UUAAGCGACUAAGCGUACACGGUGGAUGCCUGGCAGUCAGAGGCGAUGAAGGACGUGCUAAUCUGCGAUAAGCGUCGGUGAGGUGAUAUGAACCGUUAUAACCGGCGAUUUCCGAAUGGGGAAACCCAGUGUGUUUCGACACACUAUCAUUAACUGAAUCCAUAGGUUAAUGAGGCGAACCGGGGAACUGAAACAUCUAAGUACCCGAGGAAAAGAAAUCAACCGAGAUUCCCCAGUAGCGGCGAGCGAACGGGGAGGAGCCCAGAGCCUGAAUCAGUGUGUGUGUUAGUGGAAGCGUCUGGAAAGGCGCGCGAUACAGGGUGACAGCCCGUACACAAAAAUGCACAUACUGUGAGCUCGAUGAGUAGGGCGGGACACGUGGUAUCCUGUCUGAAUAUGGGGGACCAUCCUCCAAGGCUAAUACUCCUGACUGACCGAUAGUGAACCAGUACCGUGAGGGAAAGGCGAAAAGAACCCGGCGAGGGGAGUGAAAAAGAACCUGAAACCGUGUACGUACAAGCAGUGGGAGCCUCUUAAUGGGGUGACUGCGUACCUUUUGUAUAAUGGGUCAGCGACUUAUAUUCUGUAGCAAGGUUAACCGAAUAGGGGAGCCGAAGGGAAACCGAGUCUUAACUGGGCGUUAAGUUGCAGGGUAUAGACCCGAAACCCGGUGAUCUAGCCAUGGGCAGGUUGAAGGUUGGGUAACACUAACUGGAGGACCGAACCGACUAAUGUUGAAAAAUUAGCGGAUGACUUGUGGCUGGGGGUGAAAGGCCAAUCAAACCGGGAGAUAGCUGGUUCUCCCCGAAAGCUAUUUAGGUAGCGCCUCGUGAAUUCAUCUCCGGGGUAGAGCACUGUUUCGGCAAGGGGGUCAUCCCGACUUACCAACCCGAUGCAAACUGCGAAUACCGGAGAAUGUUAUCACGGGAGACACACGGCGGGUGCUAACGUCCGUCGUGAAGAGGGAAACAACCCAGACCGCCAGCUAAGGUCCCAAAGUCAUGGUUAAGUGGGAAACGAUGUGGGAAGGCCCAGACAGCCAGGAUGUUGGCUUAGAAGCAGCCAUCAUUUAAAGAAAGCGUAAUAGCUCACUGGUCGAGUCGGCCUGCGCGGAAGAUGUAACGGGGCUAAACCAUGCACCGAAGCUGCGGCAGCGACACUAUGUGUUGUUGGGUAGGGGAGCGUUCUGUAAGCCUGUGAAGGUGGCCUGUGAGGGUUGCUGGAGGUAUCAGAAGUGCGAAUGCUGACAUAAGUAACGAUAAAGCGGGUGAAAAGCCCGCUCGCCGGAAGACCAAGGGUUCCUGUCCAACGUUAAUCGGGGCAGGGUGAGUCGACCCCUAAGGCGAGGCCGAAAGGCGUAGUCGAUGGGAAACAGGUUAAUAUUCCUGUACUUGGUGUUACUGCGAAGGGGGGACGGAGAAGGCUAUGUUGGCCGGGCGACGGUUGUCCCGGUUUAAGCGUGUAGGCUGGUUUUCCAGGCAAAUCCGGAAAACCAAGGCUGAGGCGUGAUGACGAGGCACUACGGUGCUGAAGCGACAAAUGCCCUGCUUCCAGGAAAAGCCUCUAAGCAUCAGGUAACAUCAAAUCGUACCCCAAACCGACACAGGUGGUCAGGUAGAGAAUACCAAGGCGCUUGAGAGAACUCGGGUGAAGGAACUAGGCAAAAUGGUGCCGUAACUUCGGGAGAAGGCACGCUGAUAUGUAGGUGAAAGCGACUUGCUCGUGGAGCUGAAAUCAGUCGAAGAUACCAGCUGGCUGCAACUGUUUAUUAAAAACACAGCACUGGUGCAAACACGAAAGUGGACGUAUACGGUGUGACGCCUGCCCGGUGCCGGAAGGUUAAUUGAUGGGGUUAGCGGCAACGCGAAGCUCUUGAUCGAAGCCCCGGUAAACGGCGGCCGUAACUAUAACGGUCUAAGGUAGCGAAAUUCCUUGUCGGGUAAGUUCCGACCUGCACGAAUGGCGUAAUGAUGGCCAGGCUGUCUCCACCCGAGACUCAGUGAAAUUGAACUCGCUGUGAAGAUGCAGUGUACCCGCGGCAAGACGGAAAGACCCCGUGAACCUUUACUAUAGCUUGACACUGAACAUUGAGCCUUGAUGUGUAGGAUAGGUGGAGGCUUUGAAGUGUGGACGCCAGUCUGCAUGGAGCCGACCUUGAAAUACCACCCUUUAAUGUUUGAUGUUCUAACGUUGGCCCGUAAUCCGGGUUGCGGACAGUGUCUGGUGGGUAGUUUGACUGGGGCGGUCUCCUCCUAAAGAGUAACGGAGGAGCACGAAGGUUGGCUAAUCCUGGUCGGACAUCAGGAGGUUAGUGCAAUGGCAUAAGCCAGCUUGACUGCGAGCGUGACGGCGCGAGCAGGUGCGAAAGCAGGUCAUAGUGAUCCGGUGGUUCUGAAUGGAAGGGCCAUCGCUCAACGGAUAAAAGGUACUCCGGGGAUAACAGGCUGAUACCGCCCAAGAGUUCAUAUCGACGGCGGUGUUUGGCACCUCGAUGUCGGCUCAUCACAUCCUGGGGCUGAAGUAGGUCCCAAGGGUAUGGCUGUUCGCCAUUUAAAGUGGUACGCGAGCUGGGUUUAGAACGUCGUGAGACAGUUCGGUCCCUAUCUGCCGUGGGCGCUGGAGAACUGAGGGGGGCUGCUCCUAGUACGAGAGGACCGGAGUGGACGCAUCACUGGUGUUCGGGUUGUCAUGCCAAUGGCACUGCCCGGUAGCUAAAUGCGGAAGAGAUAAGUGCUGAAAGCAUCUAAGCACGAAAACUUGCCCCGAGAUGAGUUCUCCCUGAGACUUAGAGUCUCCUGAAGGAACGUUGAAGACGACGACGUUGAUAGGCCGGGUGUGUAAGCGCAGCGAUGCGUUGAGCUAACCGGUACUAAUGAACCGUGAGGCUUAACCUU
RNAcentral lists this ribosomal RNA (2894 nucleotides) under Escherichia coli. RNAcentral describes it as "bacterial LSU rRNA". It matches the Rfam family "Bacterial large subunit ribosomal RNA". The record is from RNAcentral. Lineage: Bacteria; Pseudomonadati; Pseudomonadota; Gammaproteobacteria; Enterobacterales; Enterobacteriaceae.